Molecule: long non-coding RNA, 915 nt
Filed under: Coturnix japonica (Japanese quail)
Lineage: Eukaryota; Metazoa; Chordata; Aves; Galliformes; Phasianidae
Description: lncRNA (ENSCJPG00005016821.1)
Source: RNAcentral
AUGGGAAGCGGUGAGUGGGACAACUGCCCAGCAGAGCUGAUCACUGAGCUGGAGGGGCUGCUGCUGCUGGGUGCCUUUUGUAGCUCCGAUGCACAACUAAAGAGCACUGCCAGCAAAUGCAGCUGCCAAAUCAGCACUGCCUGCAUGGAGCCUCGCUAUCACUGCAGAGAAAGACUGCGAGCACAAAGGAAAACCUAUAGCUCCAGGCUGACAUACAGCAGCACGAGCACCGACCCGCCCCCAGCUGCUGCGAGCCGCCGUCGGUACAGCCCUUUCCGCCGUCGGAACGCAUGCGUGCAAGGAGACGGAGCGUUACUUACCCGAACAAUAACACGUGGUGAGAAGUCAAGCCCCAAGGAAUUGUUAAGAAGAAAUAUGUUACUUCUGGGUUAUAAACAACAAGAAAACGAGUGGAAGUGUGAUAAACUAAGAGCUCUGUUUGCUAAUCCCCCACUAAGGAUUAAGAAAAUUGGGAGAAGGGGGAAAGAUGCAGUCAGAAAAUGUACUUCAGCAAUGCAUGUUAGUUGCUUUUUGUAUAUAGAUAAUCUUAAGUUGAGAGCCAUAACCUGUGAUAGAUGUUGCAGAACUAGAGAUGAUAAACUCUGGUGAAAACAUGAAUACACUUUUGACAAACCAUUUGGGUGUAAACUAAUUGCUUACACAUUGCACUUUGAAGCUGGAUGCUGUGGAUGAACCUUUGUUCAUCUAAGUAUCUUCUAAACCUUUCUCUGAAUUGGUCCUGUAUUAAAUAUUGGUGUUAAAUCUCUUCUGUUGUUUGCAAUUGUUAAGCUCCUAAAUUGCUUUGCUACAGGUCCCUCCGUGUACAACUUCAUCUUUUACUGCGUAACUUCAUGUUUUACUGUGUAUUUUUAUUCUAUUUGCUUUUUCCAAACCUCAGAAGUAUUUCAGUUUGUG